AACGAACGCUGGUGGCAUGCCUAAUACAUGCAAGUCGAACGAGAAAGCUCUUCGGAGUGAGUAGAGUGGCGCACGGGUGAGUAACACGUAGGUAACCUACCUUCUUGUGGGGGAUAACAUCGGGAAACCGGUGCUAAUACCGCAUAUGAAAGCUUGCUUUCAAAGGUGGCUUCGGCUAUCGCAAGAAGAAGGGCCUGCGGGACAUUAGCUUGUUGGUGGGGUAAUGGCCUACCAAGGCUACGAUGUCUAGCUGGUCUGAGAGGAUGAUCAGUCACACUGGAACUGAGACACGGUCCAG
Molecule: ribosomal RNA, 298 nt
Filed under: uncultured bacterium
Lineage: Bacteria
Description: partial 16S ribosomal RNA
Rfam family: Bacterial small subunit ribosomal RNA
Source: RNAcentral